AUGUUUUUUAGGUUUUGAUUUUUAUUACAUCCUCAUAUGAAAAUCAAAACCUAAAGAAAAUG
This 62-nucleotide microRNA precursor is filed under the name Pelecanus crispus (Dalmatian pelican). RNAcentral describes it as "mir-737 microRNA precursor family". It matches the Rfam family "mir-737 microRNA precursor family". The record is from Rfam by way of RNAcentral. Lineage: Eukaryota; Metazoa; Chordata; Aves; Pelecaniformes; Pelecanidae.